CCAGGUAGCAUUCCUCUUUGACAAUACCCACCCGCUGGUACGAGCCAGUGCGGGCUAGGCAGUCAUUUUAAGGGUAGCAUUCCUCUUUGACGAUACCCACCCGCUGGUACGAGCCAGUGCGGGCUAGGCAGUCAUUUUAAGAGAAGUGCGAACGCUAAACGAGGGCAGAAAAAGGAUCCCAAGGGACCCCAUGCCCACAUCAGGUUCCGUAUCCAAGAUAACAAGCCACGCUCAAUGUGCCACAACAUCAAUGCAAGCAUUAACAAUGUGGUGCAAAGAGACAGCUUUGAGGUUCAUCCGAUGCCAAUUUAACGACACAAGACGAAAUCAACGCUAAUCAACCGAGACAAUACCCUAACUUAGGUAGGCAACACAGGAAACCCACAAUCUGCUUAGGCGAUACACGCCUAAACA
Molecule: unclassified non-coding RNA, 414 nt
Filed under: Xanthium strumarium
Lineage: Eukaryota; Viridiplantae; Streptophyta; Magnoliopsida; Asterales; Asteraceae
Description: partial external transcribed spacer
Source: RNAcentral